Alnus glutinosa is the source of this 977-nucleotide long non-coding RNA. RefSeq lists it as uncharacterized. NCBI's taxonomy places the organism in Eukaryota, Viridiplantae, Streptophyta, Magnoliopsida, Fagales, Betulaceae. The record is from RefSeq and is a predicted model, not a curated record. The transcript is spliced from 4 exons.
UUUCUUUUUCUUGAAUGAGGCAGUGCCUCUUCUUCUUAUUUUUCUCUUAAAGAUUUUUAUAGAAAAUCUUUGAUCUACGAAGAUCCAAUGGUCCGAUCUUCAAUCCAACUUUGGUAAUGUGAUCUACGAAGCCCGAUCUACGUUUCUACCGAUUAGUUUGAGGAUUUGUUAUGUGGAACUUGCUAAACACUCUCCAAGUGUUGGAUUUAUAUUUGGUGGAAUUUUUGUGGCACAUUGCGAGGCAUUGACUAGGGAGCUUAGUUAAGCUUGUUAUCCGCGCAAUCAAGGUAUGUAGCUUUACGGGCGGUGUUGACGGUAAGCCUAGCAUUGAAGUGCUAGCACUUGCGAGAUGUGUGGUAAGCCUAGCAUUGAAGUGCUAGCACACGAGAUGUGUGCCCUGCGGGUAUGUAGCUUUACGGGCGGUGUUGAGAUGUGUGGUAUAUUGUAUUGGAAAUUGUGAUAAGAUAUAAGAGAGAUGAAUGGUGAGACUUGUACUUAAUGAUAUGUUGUUGUGUGGACUUGAUGAUUUGAGAAUAAUAUUGUGAAUCUUGUAUGUAUGUAUGUUUGCGUGCAUUGUUUACUCCGUAGUGAGUCUUAUACUACUGAGGUGGUGAAUUCAUACUUUCACAUGUACGGAUAUAGUUAACCCCACAACUGUACAGACUCUGAUGCCUUGACUGCAGGUUCAGUGGAUCUAAUGAAUGACGUCGUAGCAUAGUACUUGGGAUAUUAUGACUGAAACCCGACGCGACAGUUAUAAUGGUUCGACAAUGGGUUGUCUGCCUUUUGGUGGACUUCAUUUGUGGCUCGUGUCGCUUGUGACACUUGUGUUUAUGAGCCAGUCUUUUGGUAUGUAUUUAAUAGCUAUGUAAAAGCCUUAAACAGAUAGACAUAUUAAUGGCUCUUUUGUUGUGAUUAAUUGUUGUUUAUGGAUGUACCUUCCGCUAUGUUGAUAAUGUUAUUAUGCGUUAUUCGCA